Molecule: ribosomal RNA, 709 nt
Filed under: uncultured beta proteobacterium
Lineage: Bacteria; Pseudomonadati; Pseudomonadota; Betaproteobacteria
Description: bacterial SSU rRNA
Rfam family: Bacterial small subunit ribosomal RNA
Source: RNAcentral
UGCCUUACACAUGCAAGUCGAACGGUAACAGGUCUUCGGAUGCUGACGAGUGGCGAACGGGUGAGUAAUACAUCGGAACGUGCCCGAGAGUGGGGGAUAACGAAGCGAAAGCUUUGCUAAUACCGCAUACGAUCUCAGGAUGAAAGCAGGGGACCGCAAGGCCUUGCGCUCACGGAGCGGCCGAUGGCAGAUUAGGUAGUUGGUGGGAUAAAAGCUUACCAAGCCGACGAUCUGUAGCUGGUCUGAGAGGACGACCAGCCACACUGGGACUGAGACACGGCCCAGACUCCUACGGGAGGCAGCAGUGGGGAAUUUUGGACAAUGGGCGCAAGCCUGAUCCAGCCAUGCCGCGUGCAGGAUGAAGGCCUUCGGGUUGUAAACUGCUUUUGUACGGAACGAAAAGACUCUGGUUAAUACCUGGGGUCCAUGACGGUACCGUAAGAAUAAGCACCGGCUAACUACGUGCCAGCAGCCGCGGUAAUACGUAGGGUGCGAGCGUUAAUCGGAAUUACUGGGCGUAAAGCGUGCGCAGGCGGUUAUGUAAGACAGAUGUGAAAUCCCCGGGCUCAACCUGGGAACUGCAUUUGUGACUGCAUAGCUAGAGUACGGCAGAGGGGGAUGGAAUUCCGCGUGUAGCAGUGAAAUGCGUAGAUAUGCGGAGGAACACCGAUGGCGAAGGCAAUCCCCUGGGCCUGUACUGACGCUCAUG